Cannabis sativa is the source of this 318-nucleotide long non-coding RNA. RefSeq lists it as uncharacterized. The record is from RefSeq and is a predicted model, not a curated record. Lineage: Eukaryota; Viridiplantae; Streptophyta; Magnoliopsida; Rosales; Cannabaceae. The transcript is spliced from 2 exons.
GUACGAUUCCCUCGGCGUCAGAGAGAGUAAUUUCCGUUUCACCCUGGUGCUCAGCCAUGAAUCGGCGGAGCUGAUCGGGUCUCAUGCGAGCCUCAGGAGAGCCAGCAUAGUUGGAGAAAGCUUCCUUUACGUCAGUGGAUCAAAAAGCUCACAACACCACAAAUUUAACAAUGUCACUAUCCCUCUCUCUCCCUCUUCCUCCUCUAAUUAUGGUAGACUUUUAUAGAGAGAAACCCAAGAAGAAAAAAAAGAGAGAUAACAAAAAGAAAGACUGAUAUGGUUCCUGCGAAUUUUUCACAACAAUGUGAUUGUAAAUCU